UACAGAGGGUGCGAGCGUUGUCCGGAAUCACUGGGCGUAAAGGGCGCGUAGGUGGCGGGACAAGUGUGUGGUGAAAGCCUGGGGCUCAACCCCAGGUCGGCCAUGCAAACUGUCUUGCUCGAGCGUAGUAGAGGCAGGUGGAAUUCCGGGUGUAGCGGUGGAAUGCGUAGAGAUCCGGAAGAACACCGGUGGCGAAGGCGGCCUGCUGGGCUACUGCUGACACUGAGGCGCGACAGCGUGGGGAGCAAACAGG
RNAcentral lists this ribosomal RNA (253 nucleotides) under uncultured bacterium. Its description in RNAcentral is "partial 16S ribosomal RNA". It matches the Rfam family "Bacterial small subunit ribosomal RNA", at positions 524 to 776 of the family's 1533-position model. RNAcentral also lists the same sequence under 1 other name. The record is from RNAcentral.